This 2160-nucleotide ribosomal RNA is filed under the name Staphylococcus aureus. RNAcentral's name for it is "partial 23S ribosomal RNA". It matches the Rfam family "Bacterial large subunit ribosomal RNA", at positions 514 to 2678 of the family's 2925-position model. The record is from RNAcentral. Lineage: Bacteria; Bacillati; Bacillota; Bacilli; Caryophanales; Staphylococcaceae.
GUGAAAAGCACCCCGGAAGGGGAGUGAAAUAGAACCUGAAACCGUGUGCUUACAAGUAGUCAGAGCCCGUUAAUGGGUGAUGGCGUGCCUUUUGUAGAAUGAACCGGCGAGUUACGAUUUGAUGCAAGGUUAAGCAGUAAAUGUGGAGCCGUAGCGAAAGCGAGUCUGAAUAGGGCGUUUAGUAUUUGGUCGUAGACCCGAAACCAGGUGAUCUACCCUUGGUCAGGUUGAAGUUCAGGUAACACUGAAUGGAGGACCGAACCGACUUACGUUGAAAAGUGAGCGGAUGAACUGAGGGUAGCGGAGAAAUUCCAAUCGAACCUGGAGAUAGCUGGUUCUCUCCGAAAUAGCUUUAGGGCUAGCCUCAAGUGAUGAUUAUUGGAGGUAGAGCACUGUUUGGACGAGGGGCCCCUCUCGGGUUACCGAAUUCAGACAAACUCCGAAUGCCAAUUAAUUUAACUUGGGAGUCAGAACAUGGGUGAUAAGGUCCGUGUUCGAAAGGGAAACAGCCCAGACCACCAGCUAAGGUCCCAAAAUAUAUGUUAAGUGGAAAAGGAUGUGGCGUUGCCCAGACAACUAGGAUGUUGGCUUAGAAGCAGCCAUCAUUUAAAGAGUGCGUAAUAGCUCACUAGUCGAGUGACACUGCGCCGAAAAUGUACCGGGGCUAAACAUAUUACCGAAGCUGUGGAUUGUCCUUUGGACAAUGGUAGGAGAGCGUUCUAAGGGCGUUGAAGCAUGAUCGUAAGGACAUGUGGAGCGCUUAGAAGUGAGAAUGCCGGUGUGAGUAGCGAAAGACGGGUGAGAAUCCCGUCCACCGAUUGACUAAGGUUUCCAGAGGAAGGCUCGUCCGCUCUGGGUUAGUCGGGUCCUAAGCUGAGGCCGACAGGCGUAGGCGAUGGAUAACAGGUUGAUAUUCCUGUACCACCUAUAAUCGUUUUAAUCGAUGGGGGGACGCAGUAGGAUAGGCGAAGCGUGCGAUUGGAUUGCACGUCUAAGCAGUAAGGCUGAGUAUUAGGCAAAUCCGGUACUCAUUAAGGCUGAGCUGUGAUGGGGAGAAGACAUUGUGUCUUCGAGUCGUUGAUUUCACACUGCCGAGAAAAGCCUCUAGAUAGAAAAUAGGUGCCCGUACCGCAAACCGACACAGGUAGUCAAGAUGAGAAUUCUAAGGUGAGCGAGCGAACUCUCGUUAAGGAACUCGGCAAAAUGACCCCGUAACUUCGGGAGAAGGGGUGCUCUUUAGGGUUAACGCCCAGAAGAGCCGCAGUGAAUAGGCCCAAGCGACUGUUUAUCAAAAACACAGGUCUCUGCUAAACCGUAAGGUGAUGUAUAGGGGCUGACGCCUGCCCGGUGCUGGAAGGUUAAGAGGAGUGGUUAGCUUCUGCGAAGCUACGAAUCGAAGCCCCAGUAAACGGCGGCCGUAACUAUAACGGUCCUAAGGUAGCGAAAUUCCUUGUCGGGUAAGUUCCGACCCGCACGAAAGGCGUAACGAUUUGGGCACUGUCUCAACGAGAGACUCGGUGAAAUCAUAGUACCUGUGAAGAUGCAGGUUACCCGCGACAGGACGGAAAGACCCCGUGGAGCUUUACUGUAGCCUGAUAUUGAAAUUCGGCACAGCUUGUACAGGAUAGGUAGGAGCCUUUGAAACGUGAGCGCUAGCUUACGUGGAGGCGCUGGUGGGAUACUACCCUAGCUGUGUUGGCUUUCUAACCCGCACCACUUAUCGUGGUGGGAGACAGUGUCAGGCGGGCAGUUUGACUGGGGCGGUCGCCUCCUAAAAGGUAACGGAGGCGCUCAAAGGUUCCCUCAGAAUGGUUGGAAAUCAUUCAUAGAGUGUAAAGGCAUAAGGGAGCUUGACUGCGAGACCUACAAGUCGAGCAGGGUCGAAAGACGGACUUAGUGAUCCGGUGGUUCCGCAUGGAAGGGCCAUCGCUCAACGGAUAAAAGCUACCCCGGGGAUAACAGGCUUAUCUCCCCCAAGAGUUCACAUCGACGGGGAGGUUUGGCACCUCGAUGUCGGCUCAUCGCAUCCUGGGGCUGUAGUCGGUCCCAAGGGUUGGGCUGUUCGCCCAUUAAAGCGGUACGCGAGCUGGGUUCAGAACGUCGUGAGACAGUUCGGUCCCUAUCCGUCGUGGGCGUAGGAAAUUUGAGAGGAGCUGUCCU